AAAAGUAAUUGCGGUUUUUGCUAUUGGUUUUAAUGGCAAUUACUUUUGCACCAG
Molecule: microRNA precursor, 54 nt
Filed under: Pan troglodytes (chimpanzee)
Lineage: Eukaryota; Metazoa; Chordata; Mammalia; Primates; Hominidae
Description: miRNA
Source: RNAcentral